GAUGAACGCUGGCGGCGUGCCUAAUACAUGCAAGUCGAGCGAACGGACGAGAAGCUUGCUCCUCUGAUGUUAGCGGCGGACGGGUGAGUAACACGUGGAUAACCUACCUCUAAGACUGGGAUAACUUCGGGAAACCGGAGCUACUACCGGAUAAUAUUUUGAACCGCAUGGUUCAAACGUGAAAGUCGGUCUUGCUGUCACUUAUAGACGGAUCCGCGCUGCAUCAGCUAGUUGGUAAGGUAACGGCUUACCAAGGCAACGAUGCAUAGCCGACCUGAGAGGGUGAUCGGCCACACUGGAACUGAGACACGGUCCAGACUCCUACGGGAGGCAGCAGUAGGGAAUCUUCCGCAAUGGGCGAAAGCCUGACGGAGCAACGCCGCGUGAGUGAUGAAGGUCUUCGGAUCGUAAAACUCUGUUAUUAGGGAAGAACAUAUGUGUAAGUAACUGUGCACAUCUUGACGGUACCGAAUCAGAAAGCCACGGCUAACUACGUG
This 497-nucleotide ribosomal RNA is filed under the name uncultured bacterium. Its description in RNAcentral is "partial 16S ribosomal RNA". It matches the Rfam family "Bacterial small subunit ribosomal RNA", at positions 28 to 507 of the family's 1533-position model. The record is from RNAcentral.